RNAcentral lists this ribosomal RNA (468 nucleotides) under uncultured bacterium. Its description in RNAcentral is "partial 16S ribosomal RNA". It matches the Rfam family "Bacterial small subunit ribosomal RNA", at positions 28 to 507 of the family's 1533-position model. The record is from RNAcentral.
GACGAACGCUGGCGGCGUGCUUAACACAUGCAAGUCGAACGGAAAGGCCCUGCUUUUGUGGGGUGCUCGAGUGGCGAACGGGUGAGUAACACGUGAGUAACCUGCCCUUGACUUUGGGAUAACUUCAGGAAACUGGGGCUAAUACCGGAUAGGAGCUCCUGCUGCAUGGUGGGGGUUGGAAAGUUUCGGCGGUUGGGGAUGGACUCGCGGGUUAUCAGCUUGUUGGUGGGGUAGUGGUUUACCAAGGCUUUGACGGGUAGCCGGCCUGAGAGGGUGACCGGCGACAUGGGGACUGAGGUACGGCCCAGACUCCUACGGGAGGCAGCAGUGGGGAGUAUUGCACAAUGGGCGGAAGCCUGAUGCAGCAACGCCGCGUGCGGGAUGACGGCCUUCGGGGUGUAAACCGCUUUCGCCUGUGACGAAGCGUGAGUGACGGUAAUGGGUAAAGAAGCACCGGCUAACUACGUG